Molecule: small RNA, 583 nt
Filed under: Pongo abelii (Sumatran orangutan)
Lineage: Eukaryota; Metazoa; Chordata; Mammalia; Primates; Hominidae
Description: processed transcript
Source: RNAcentral
AAAGGGAAAAUAUGUGGUGGAUGCAGGAGACAGGAUGCAAGCGGUCUGAUGCCCAUCAUCUAUAUAUAGGCUCUUCUUCAAGUGACAAUUUCACUUAGCAAAGUAGAGCUUAGUGUGGGAGAAUCUAAAUUCUUCACAUGUACAGCGAUUGGUGAACCUGAAAGUAUAGAUUGGUAUAAUCCUCAAGGAGAGAAGAUAAUUUCAACCCAGAGGGUAGUAGUGCAAAAGGAAGGUGUUAGGUCACGGUUAACCAUCUACAAUGCAAAUAUAGAAGAUGCAGGGAUAUAUCGUUGUCAAGCAACAGAUGCCAAAGGACAAACACAAGAAGCUACAGUAGUUUUGGAAAUUUACCAAAAACUCACUUUCAGAGAAGUGGUAUCUCCACAAGAAUUCAAACAAGGAGAAGAUGCAGAAGUGGUUUGCCGAGUUAGCAGUUCACCUGCACCUGCUGUCAGCUGGUUGUAUCAUAAUGAGGAAGUCACCACUAUUUCCGACAAUCGGUUUGCCAUGUUAGCAAACAAUAACCUGCAGAUUCUCAACAUCAAUAAGAGUGAUGAAGGUAUAUACAGAUGUGAAGGAAGGG